GGAAGGAUCAUUAUUGAAAUAAACCUGAUGAGUUGUUGCUGGCUCUCUAGGGAGCAUUGUGCACACUUGUCAUCUUUAUAUCUCCACCUGUGCACCUUUUGUAGACCUGGAUAUCUCUCUGAUGCUUGCUUUAGUUAGUAACUCAGGUUUGAGGAUUGACUUGAUUGUCUCUUCCUUACAUUUCUAGGCCUAUGUUUCUUCAUAUACCCUAAUAUAUGUUAUAGAAUGUAAUAAAUGGGCCUUUGUGCCUAUAAAUUUAUACAACUUUCAGCAACGGAUCUCUUGGCUCUCGCAUCGAUGAAGAACGCAGCGAAAUGCGAUAAGUAAUGUGAAUUGCAGAAUUCAGUGAAUCAUCGAAUCUUUGAACGCACCUUGCGCUCCUUGGUAUUCCGAGGAGCAUGCCUGUUUGAGUGUCAUUUAUAUAUCAACCUCUUCCAACUUUUUUGUUUGUUUGUCGAGUGUUGGAUGUGGGGGCUCUUUUUGUGCUGGCCUCUCUCUAAAGGUCAGCUCCCCUGAAAUACAUUAGCAGAACAUCUUGUGGAACUGUUCAUUGGUGUGAUAAUUAUCUACGCCAUUGAAUGUGAAGCAGUUCAGCUUCUUAAUAGUCCAUUGACUUGGACAAAUUUCAUUAAUGUGACCUCAAAUCAGGUAGGACUACCCGCUGAACUUAAGCAUAUCAAUAAGCGGAGGAAAAGAAACUAACAAGGAUUCCCCUAGUAACUGCGAGUGAAGCGGGAAAAGCUCAAAUUUAAAAUCUGGCAGUCUUUGAUUGUCCGAGUUGUAAUCUAGAGAAGCAUUAUCCGCGUUGGACCGUGUACAAGUCUCCUGGAAUGGAGCGUCAUAGAGGGUGAGAAUCCCGUCUUUGACACGGACUGCCAGGGCUUUGUGAUGUGCUCUCAAAGAGUCGAGUUGUUUGGGAAUGCAGCUCAAAAUGGGUGGUAAAUUCCAUCUAAAGCUAAAUAUUGGC
RNAcentral lists this ribosomal RNA (967 nucleotides) under uncultured fungus. RNAcentral's name for it is "eukaryotic LSU rRNA". The stretch from base 635 to 967 matches the Rfam family "Eukaryotic large subunit ribosomal RNA", at positions 1 to 327 of the family's 3401-position model. The record is from RNAcentral. Lineage: Eukaryota; Fungi.